Molecule: unclassified non-coding RNA, 305 nt
Filed under: plant metagenome
Description: partial contains 5.8S ribosomal RNA, internal transcribed spacer 2, and large subunit ribosomal RNA
Rfam family: 5.8S ribosomal RNA (bases 1-105)
Source: RNAcentral
GAAAUGCGAUAAGUAAUGUGAAUUGCAGAAUUCAGUGAAUCAUCGAAUCUUUGAACGCACAUUGCGCCCGCCAGUAUUCUGGCGGGCAUGCCUGUUCGAGCGUCAUUUCAACCAUCAAGCCCCCGGCUUGUGUUGGGGACCUGCGGCUGCCCGCAGGCCCUGAAAAACAGUGGCGGGCUCGCUGUCACACCGAGCGUAGUAGCAUACAUUCUCGCUCAGGGCGUGCUGCGGGUUCCGGCCGUUAAACGACCUUCAUAACCCAAGGUUGACCUAGGAUCAGGUAGGAAGACCCGCUGAACUUAAGC